This is a long non-coding RNA of Brassica napus (rape), 2661 nucleotides long. RefSeq lists it as uncharacterized. Lineage: Eukaryota; Viridiplantae; Streptophyta; Magnoliopsida; Brassicales; Brassicaceae. The transcript has 2 exons. The record is from RefSeq and is a predicted model, not a curated record.
UUUUUUAAAAUGAAGACAUAUUAUAUACAGAAAAAUCUAAAAUUUUAUUAUAUGGUUAAUGUUAUUAUUUAAUUUAUUUUAAUAAUAUAAAAUUUUAAGAAAAUGAUAGAGGAUACAUAAAUAGUGAUCAAAUUUUUAUUAUUUAAAAUCAUUAAUUGGUAUAUAUAUUUUAAUCAUAUUAGGUAAUUGUAAUUUUGUACUUUUAUUUAAAGAAAGAAUGAAGAACAAAUUUGAUACAUUAAUAAUUAAUUCUAUGAAUAAUUAAAUUAAAAGUAUAAUAUAUGUUUAGAUAGACUAACUUACUUUUCUAAAGAUUAUAAGAAUCAUUAUAGUAAUCGCAUGGCAUAGCUCAAAUUAUUAAUUAAUAUAAUUACAAACUAUAAGAAUAAUUAUAGUAAUCACGUGGUAAUUGUAAUUUCUUAGUUUUUAUUUAAAGAAAGAAUGAAGAAUAUAUUUUAUACAUUAAUAAUUAAUUCUAUAAUUAGUUAAAAGUAUAGUAAUGACACAUGUCAUAACUCAAAGGUUGUAGUGUUUCUCAUAAUAUAUAAGAGACUAGGGUCGGCCCGCUCUACGGGCGAUAAAUUAUAAUAAAAACAUUUUUUUAUAUUGAAUAGUGUUUAUCUUUUUUAUUUAAAAACUAAUUUUAAGUUAACACUUAGUGUUUUGACCCAAAAAUAGUACUUAUAAUUAUGAUAUAAGAUAAUUCUAUUUGUAGUAGUUUUCCAAUGGUGUGGUGAUUUUGUAUUUAGUCGUUUGAUGAUGUUGGGAUUUUUUUAAAAUGAAGAAGUUAUUAUUAGAACACUAGAAACACUUUUGAGAGUCACAUAUUUAGUUACCAUUAGGAAUUCUAUAAUGUAUGUGAGGAAAUAUUAUUUAUUGAGAAAUGCAAUGUAUAUUUUUUGUGUGGACGAAUAAUAUAAGUACUAUUUGAAAACGUAAACGGAUUGGUAUGAUUAAAUAUAAGAACUUGUUGAGUGGGGUUCAUAUAAACUUUUUAGCCUAUUUUUUUAAAUUAAAUUGUAGAAAGUGUGUAUAUUCACCGAUUCAUUUUGUUUACAAUUUUGUGCCUUCAACAUUUGCACCAUUUUAAGUGAUUUUGAUGGAAGAUCUCGAAAGUUAUAAAGGAAAAAAUUGAGCGUUAGAGAGUUUUGCUUACCGAGGUGGCAUAUUUUACCAAUUGAUUUAGAUACUGAUUCCAAUGCUUUUAUAUAAGAAGAUUGGUUCUCUCUCUCUAGAGUAUCAUAAGUUUUUCUUUGGCUCUCUCUCUUAAAUCUCUCUGCAGAAACCUCCGCCGUAAGUCUCGUUCUUUUCCGGUAGCGGCACAGGCCCUCCUCCCUAAUCGCUGAUUUUUUUCUCUUUGCCUCUCAACCUCCUCAACCCCUUUUUCGACAUGUCAAGGCUCUCGAGAGCUAUUCCUUCAUCAGAGCUUCAGUCACGUGAUGCUGGUGACGAUUCUGUUCGGUGGAUGUGCUUUUCCUGAGUGGCGACGAGGCUAAGGUGGUUAGGAUGUGGCGAGGUCGGCUUUUACGGUGGCUAGAUUUGGGUCGACGUUUUCCCUUUUUCGAUCUAGGUUUCGCUGGAGUUUGUGGCGCGUGGUGCUACGACUAGGCUCUCCUGGCCUGGAUCUUCUCGGAUCUGUGUUGGUGUGGGGUGGUGGUGUCGGCUCUUGAUCCUCCGCCUUGGUAUCUCGGUGUAGGAGGAGCCUUCUACUCCAUCCAGUCUGGACUUCGAUGGUGUUCUCUCCUCAAGGCGUGUGUGGGUUACCUUCUUCUGGCGGUGCCAUUUGAAACUCUCCGGCAGCGCGUGUGGAGUCCCUGGUGAGGUGGCGCGUGGAGUUGUCUACGCUUCUCGGGAUCUCUGCUUCGUUCUUGCCUAGUCUCAUCACGGCUCUGUUAUGUGGUCUCUUCAUCCUCCAGAAGUGCACAUUUUGGUGGAGAAGUCUUUGGGUUUUGUUCUCGAUGGUUGGUAGCCUCGACAGCCACCGUUUGGCUACAUGUUAAAGCUUUAAGAACCUUCCUCUUGUUCUAAGAGAUGGAGUGCGUGGGCGUUUGUUGUGGUCCGAGAGUCUCCGGAACCCAACUCAUUGUCCGUGGCGGCGUGCUGGUUUGGCGUCUUUCCCAGUACCGAGUUUGGCUUUUCAGGCUUCGGUAGGAUGUCCUUACCCCUUCCACAAGACAGAGUAGUCACAGCUCAGCCGGCCUUUUUUCAAGAUGGGUGAACUUGCCAUGGCGUCAGAUCCGGUGGUUUCAGUUUCAGAAUUCAAGAUUAAAAGGUGUGGAAGAAGAAGAAAAGCUCGACGGUGGUGGGAUUUGAGAAAAGCAGAGCUGGAUGGUGGAUGCGACGAUGGCCACGUGGGAAGAACCCUAAAAAUGGAUCGAAGCGCGUUAGAGAUGCUGGAGACUAGGCCGUCCAAGAAUAAAGUCCAUAUAAACCGAAGCCCACCUAGACUUAAUGAAACAUUGCAUUUUAAAAUAGUGGGAUACGUGUCGACUUCUCAAAAUUGGAAUUAAUGAUGUGUCCGCCUACGUGUACAGCCUAGGAGAGAUGCAAACCCAACUUUAUAUAUAAAGAUAUAUAGGAAGAAAAAUAAAAAAUAUAUAUUUGUUUUAACAAAAAUUGUAUAAGGUAUUUUAUUUUUAUGACAAAAAAGGUAUUUUAAUU